CAGUGGGAUACCUGUGAGCAGAGGCCUGGGCUGGAAGGCUUGGGAGGGCAAGCUGGGGUGGGGCUGGCCCGAAAUGGGAGGCCUAGGAAGGUGGGCAAAGCAGAAGGGGGCAAGAGUGAUAAGGGAAGGAGAAGAGGCCUGGGCCUGCUCCCUGUCACCUUCCAUCCUCCCCACAGUCCUCCGGGAGGAUUUCCAGAUCCAGCCUCGGGACAUGGUGGCUGUGGUGGGUGAGCAGGUAACUCUGGAAUGUGGGCCACCCUGGGGCCACCCAGAGCCCACAGUCUCGUGGUGGAAAGAUGGGAAACCCCUGGCCUUCCAGCCUGGAAGGCACACAGUGUCCGGGGGGUCCCUGCUGAUGGCAAGAGCAGAGAAGAGUGACGCAGGGACCUACAUGUGUGUGGCCACCAACAGCGCAGGACACAGGGAGAGCCGCGCAGCCCGGGUUUCCAUCCAGGAGCCCCAGGACUACACGGAGCCUGUGGAGCUUCUGGCUGUGCGAAUUCAGCUGGAAAAUGUGACACUGCUGAACCCGGAUCCCGCAAAGGGCCCCAAGCCUGGACCGGCGGUGUGGCUCAGC
This 577-nucleotide small RNA is filed under the name Pongo abelii (Sumatran orangutan). RNAcentral describes it as "retained intron". The record is from RNAcentral. Lineage: Eukaryota; Metazoa; Chordata; Mammalia; Primates; Hominidae.